UUCUGACUGGAUUUAUAUCAUAUGUAAAAAAGAAAAUUGGGCUAAUAGCCACUACAAUAAGGACUAGAGAAAGAAAAUAAAUCGGGCUUAAACUAGCCCAUCUUGACCAAAAUAAACAAAAUUUGAAAAUAAAGCUAAUCCUAUACCAGUCAAAUCUAGAUAGCUGGACACCAUUAAUUAUCGUCUUUUCAAACCCACCGUCCAGUCAUAACGAUAGCAGGUUACCAAUUUAAUGCUUUUGUCUCUGCUAUCCUUUAAUGAAAACCUUUCCCUUUCUUCAGUCCGGAGGAUUUGGCCAGAGAUUUCCUACCGUUCUCCGAACCACUUCUGGGACUUCCCUCUCCAGGUAAAAACUUUCUCUUCUUCUAAGAGCCUCAUUUGCUAUAGUAUGUGCAUAAAUAUUCUGUGCUUUAGGGACAAAAGUAAACUCAAUCUCCUGGAACCUGUUUUUUAGACUUUGGAUAUCUGUGAUAAUUGCUCCAAUGACUGAUUUAUCUGUGAAGAAGCUUUGGCAUUUCUUGAUAACAGUUUUGGAAUCUCCUAAAACUGUUAAUUUAUUGACUCCCAGUCUAAUCCCUAAUUUUAUUGCAUGUAACCCUGCAUAUGCCUCUGCUGUGAAUGGAUUUGCAAUGUUGGAGUGAAUGACUACAUGUGAUGCAGGAAUCUCUCUAUUCUCGUUCCGUACUAUUAUACCUGAAGCCGAUCUGAACUCCAGACGAUCGUAAGCUGCAUCAAAAUGAAUGAAGGUCCAUCCCCUUUUGUGUAUCUGUUGGAGAUUGUCAGAUGAAUGGAGAGUAAGAUUUCUUACUUUUGUUACUGCAAGUUCUGUAAUAUAGACUCUGAUUUUCCUCGCUAUUUCUGAUCCUGACAUGAGUCUUUUUUCAUAUGCGAGAUGAUUUCUGCUAAACCAAAUGAACCAAAGGCUACAACAGAAAAGUUGAAACUGCUUUUCAUUACCUCGAUCAAAAACCCAGGUAAGCCAUCCCCACAUGUUAUUUAUACUCUGAUUCAGCACCCACAAUAAAUUUAACUGAUUCCAAACUUCCAUUGAUCUAGGGCACUGAAUAAAAAUAUGCCAGCUAUUUUCUUCAGCACAACCACACUUGGGACAAAGAGUGUUCAUCACUACCCUCUUUAUUUUGAGGUUGACAAAGGAAGGGAUAAAUCUCAAGAAAUCCUCCAAAUUGUCAUCUGAAUCUUUGAAGGGAUAUGUAACUUCCAUAAUUUGUUGUAGAAAUUUUUUGUCUCGGUAUGUAAUAAUAAAUCAUUAGGAUCCAGAUUAGAACCAUGUAAUAGUUUAUAGGCACUCCUUACCGAGAACUCCCCUGUCGGUUCUCCUCUCCAUACUUGAAAAUCUUCUUGUUCUGUCUUCGCAAAAGGGAUUUGUAAUAUUUGCUCUGCAACAUCUGGUUGAAAGGUAUUUCUUAUCAGCUCUGUUUUCCAGCUCCUGCUAUUUGGCUCAAUUAAAUCCGAGACUAAUUUAACAUUUUCAUUGUUUUCUUGAAUAGUGAUUCUGUCAGCUUAGAUCCCCGGUAUCCAUGAAUCUCCCCGUAUGGGAAUUUGAUCACCUCUCCCCACCCUCCAACAGCGUCUAUUAUUAAAAAGUCCUCUCGCAGCCCAUAUAUUUUUCCAGGUAAAUGAAGGUAAAUUCCCCAACUGAGCUUUGUAGAAAUCUGAAUUGGGAAAAUAUUUUACUUUCAAAACACGGGAAAUAAUGAAUUCGGAUAAUUAAUAAGACGCCAUCCCUGCUUCGUUAAUAAUGCAACGUUAAAUUUAGCAAAAUCACGAAAAUCGAGACCACCAUAUUCUUUUAAUAGACAUAUAUCCUUCCAAGUGCACAAGUGGAUACCUUUUUUAUUAAAUCUCUUUUGCCACCAGAAGUUGGCUAUUAUUCUAUCCAAAUCAGUACAAAGCGUCUUAAGGAGUAGAAAACAAGCCAUCGAGUAUGUUGGAAUAGCUUGGAGAAUUGCCUUAAUAAACACUUCCUUUCUUCUUUGUGAGAGAUACCUAAUACUCCAACUGUCGAUUUUUUGCUUGAGUCUGUCCUUCAAAUUUUGAAAAGAUAAUCUCUUUCUUUUCCCCACCAUACUAGGAAGUCCUAGAUAUCGCUCAAAAUCAUUAGCUCUUCUGACUCCAAGGAUCUGUGAAACAGCACUCUUUUCACUCUCUUUUGUAUUUAGUACUGAAGAAAACUGUCAAUUUUUCAAAAUUCACACAUUGCCCAGAACUUGUCUCGUAUUCUUGCAGUAUCUGUUUUAAUGAAUGUGCUACCCUAUCCGUAGCUUCUGCAAAUAAAAUACAAUCAUCUGUAAAUAGUAAAUGGGAGAUAGCUAGCCCUAUUCGACUUGCUUUAACACCUUUAAAAACAUUAUCCUCUUUUGCUAACCUCAUUAGACUUGAGAGUCCUCCACAAAUAAGAAAUAAAAAUGGACUUAGAGGAUCCCCUUGCCUAAAACCUCUCGAUGGGAGAAACGUUUGACCAAUAUUUCUAUUAAAACUCAGAGUAUGAGACUGAAGAGACACAAUUCAGUACUAAAUCAACCCAUCCUGGGUCAAAACCCAUUUUUUCCAUUACUCUUUUAACAAACCCCUAUUCAACCCUAUCACAUGCCUUACUCAUGUCCAGUUUAACAGCCAUGAAUCCUUUUUUCCCCAAUCUCUUCAGUUUCAAAGUGUGUAGAAUUUCAUAAGCAAGUAACACAUUAUCACAUGCCUUCCUGGAACAAAAGCAAUCUUUACUAAAUCAAUACAUUUAUGAAUUAUCCCCCGUAGCCUAUUCGCAAUGACUUUAGCAAUCAAUUUGUAAAUCACAUUACAUAAACUAAUAGGUCUAAAAUGGGUAAUGCUUGAGGGAUUUUGGAUUUUUGGGAUGAGCACAAUAUUUGUUUUAUUAAUUGAAUGUAACCCAAUACCUUCGUUUAAUCUUUGGAGACAAAAAUUGGAGACGUCAUUUGUGAACCUUGCCUUCAGUUUAAUGUUAUCUUCCUCAGAAAUACACCUUCUAAUACCUGUCAAGAUAUUCUCAAAGUUAUUUUGCCCUCCUAUUGAAAACAAACGUAAAAAGUACGAUCUGGCAAUUUCCUCCAUAUCCUUCCAUUUAUCCGUCUCCCUGCCGUCUUCACCCUACAGCUUGUGGAUUCUAUUUUGCUUCCUUCGUUGCGAUGCUUGUUUAUGAAAAAAAGUUGUAUUUCUGUCUCCCAUUUUCAACCAAUUAAUUCUGGCCCUCUGUUCCCAAUAGCUUUCAUCCUUCUCAAUUUCUAAAUUCUGAUGGAUUUUUGUGUCAAUAAUCUCUGCCAAGUUCUCCUCACUUCUAUCCGCUUCAAGCAACAUUUCUAAUUUUGACAAUAAGGCCUCUUUUUUCAUCCUUUUAUUCUGUUGGAACCGGACACACCACAUUUGUAACCCUCGUUUUAAAUUUUCCAGCUUCUUCACAAUGUCUCCUGUUGAGCUUUCCUAAAUACUUUUAGUCUCAUCCAAGAAUGUCUCUUCUAAAAUCCACCAUGCUUCAAACCUGAACCUCUGAUCUGCUAUCUUUUUAACUCUGUGAUCCGUAUCAAUAAGAAGUGGACAAUGGUCUGAGAAUGAAUGUGGGAGGUGUUGAAUUAGAAAAUUUGGAAAUAAGUCACUCCAUCUUUCUGUUGCCACCCCUCUAUAUAAUCUUUCAUGGAUAUUAGUUUCUGGCAGAUUUCCCCUCUCCCACGUAAACCUCUUACCUGAAUAUCCCAAAUCCACUAAACAACAAUCAUCCAAAGCCUUCCGAAAUGCUUCCAUCCUUCUCUCUUCUCUAGGCAAACCACCUUUCUUCUCAAAACAUAUAAGAUUUCAUUAAAAUCCCCACAAACCAGCCAUGGGUCAUCUCCCUGGUUUCUUAAUUUUCGCAACAAGUUCCAUGAUUCCUCCCUAUCAUAUGAAUAAGGGGAACCAUAAAAACCUGUAAAUCUCCACUUUUCUCCAUCUCCUUCUUCCUCAAUGAUCACAUCAAUAUGUCUACUUGAAAAACUCUAUAGUGCAAUACUAGUAUUCCCUCUACAUGCUAAACAAAGUCCUCAUCUAGAUCCAAUCGAAUCCACAUCAAUUCCAAAGUGAAAUCCACAACUUCUUCGAAUUUUUUCCAUCUUUUUUUUUGUUUAUUUUUGUCUCCAUUAAGAAGAUCACUUGGGGAUAGUGUUUCUUCAGCGAAUGCUAAAGUCGAUGAACUGUCCGAGGAUUCCCCGAACCUCGGACAUUCCAACUUAAUAUUUUCAUUGCGAUUGGUCGUCUUACCUCUUGGCAGUUGCCGAUAAUAAAUGAUUGAAUCCCUGUACUUUCCUAUCUCUCCCUUUCAUCUCCCUACUAUCCUCAAUAUCCUUUCUCCCUCUCUUUUUUCCCUCUUCUCCUAUAAUCAUCGCAUUCUCCAACUCCUGUUCUAUAGCCAUUUGACUAUAAUCAUUUAAAGGUCUAACCAUUUCUAUUUGUGAGGAGAACCCAUUACCUUUCAGAUUAAAUCUUAAAAUAGGAUCAACACUUCCCCUAAAAUUUCCUACGCUUCCCCUUUCAUUAUUUCCUCCGCUCAUUCCUCCCCCUGAACCUCCUUCCUCCUUUAACCAUACACUUCUCAUUGCUUGGGCUCUCCUUGAUUGUGCACGCAAAGAUAAAUCCCAUCCCAUCAUAUCAACUUCAACCACUGCCAACAUUUUUGCUUCACAAAAGGAGUCAUUAUGUCCAAGACGGCCACAGUAGAAGCAAAAAAGAGUCAAUCUUUCGUACUUAAAUCUAACAUAAGAGCACUUGUUAUUAAACAUAACCUGCUUUUUCCUUUUGAGAGGGCGCCGAAUGUCAACUUGAACUCUUAUCCUCAUGAAAUUCAUAUUUUCUUUCCCCAAACUAGAUCCAUCGUAUUCUUGAAAAAAUUCCAAUAAAAUUCCCUAACUGCAUCACUAAUUUAUCAGAGUAAAACCCAAUGGGCACAUCAUGUAUUUGAACCCAAAACGGUGAUGAGAUUAAAGGAACUUUUAGUGGAUCUUCCCCCUUGCAACUUGUGUUAAAUUAGUAGAUGAUUAUUGAAUGUCCAAGCAGCCCAUUUAAUAACUCUUUCCAUAUCAAUAACAUGAAAAAACUUAAACAAGUACCUUUUUUCCCCAGAUCCCUAAUUUGAACACCCUUGACCGGAUGCCAUAGAUUAGCCAUGGUACUUUUCAUUGCUGGAUAAUGGAUGAUACUGGCUGUAAGAAAACAACGAACCAGACUAAGAGAUUCUUCAUUAAUAACUAAAUUUGAGUCACCUUGUGCUUGCAGGAUCUCUUCUUCUUCUUCAUCAAGAGAUAAACCCGCAAAUUCUGAUUCCAUGGAUGCUGUACUCGAAUCCUCCGUUAAAGAAAUCACUUCAAAUCAAUGGAGAUGAACGCCGCCAAAACAAGAAAACACAAGAAAAAAACUUGCCAAAGAAGCAUACAGAGACGUGCUAGGGUAGCAGACUAUUUUUUACAAAAGUUGACGUAAAUUUUUAAGUUUAUUUUUUAAAAAUAAAAAAAUGAAAAAGAUUUAUUUUUAUUUUUCUCAUAUUUUUUAAAGAUUAUUUAAAUUUAAUUUCAAAAGAGAAUAAAACUGACAUGCAAAUAGAUUAAAAGUUAAAAGAAAAGUUUAAAAGCAUUUAACUAGGUAUAGUCACCAGUGAUGGUGUUACAUUUUUUCAUCCAAUCUAAAAAAGAAAAUUAUUUCAUCAUGUCUUUAAACAUUUUACAUAAUUGCACUUCAAUCAGGUGCAGUUAAUGACAACAGCGGUAGGGGCAAGGUCAAAACAAUGUUUUAGGAGGGUCGCAUGAAAUUUUAAAUUUUUAUAGUUUAUAUAUUUAUAAUUUUUGAAGAAUUAAAUUAAUUUUUUAUAAUUUUAGGGGGGCUAAAGUAUAAUUUUACCUUUAUUAAUUUAAAAUUUUAAAAAGUUUUAAAUAACCUAAACAACAAAUUUCUAUUUUAGGGGGGUCGGAACUCCUGUCAGCCCCCAGAUUACCCUCUAAACGACAACAUCAAAAAAAUAUUCUUUUCCAGCCAAUGAUUGGCCCAUUAUGAAGC
This 6048-nucleotide long non-coding RNA is filed under the name Gossypium barbadense (sea-island cotton). Its description in RNAcentral is "long non-coding RNA (GBAR_LNC016726)". The record is from RNAcentral. Lineage: Eukaryota; Viridiplantae; Streptophyta; Magnoliopsida; Malvales; Malvaceae.